RNAcentral lists this long non-coding RNA (376 nucleotides) under Olea europaea (common olive). RNAcentral describes it as "long non-coding RNA (OEUR_LNC012816)". The record is from RNAcentral. Lineage: Eukaryota; Viridiplantae; Streptophyta; Magnoliopsida; Lamiales; Oleaceae.
AGGCACGUUUCUACAACUUUCAUGUUUUGGAAGAAGUCAAAUUCGUAUCACAAAGCAGCUAAAAUUACCGUGCAAAGUCCAGCUUGUUACCUGCCGGAUACAGCUUUACCUGUGAAGCAGCACUUAUUGUUUUUGUCAUAUCUGGAGUUAUAUAGAUCCAAUGAACCUGAUAUUUGAACCAAUGGAAAGCUAACUCAAGUGGUAAUAAUUUAUCUGUUGAUCAUAAGUCCAAAUUCGCUGCAAAAUAUAUCUGAAAAUUGGCAUCAAGUUGCAUGUUCCAGCUGUCUUGAAGCUGGACAGAAACAAGUUGCAUUGCCUACUUGAAUUUUGGAUGUUUCUUUGCCUAUAAAAGGGGACCUUGGCCACGAUUUUGAAG